This 190-nucleotide ribosomal RNA is filed under the name uncultured eukaryote. RNAcentral describes it as "partial small subunit ribosomal RNA". It matches the Rfam family "Eukaryotic small subunit ribosomal RNA", at positions 1294 to 1460 of the family's 1831-position model. The record is from RNAcentral.
UUAGUUGGUGGAGUGAUUUGUCUGGUUAAUUCCGUUAACGAACGAGACCUUAACCUGCUAAAUAGUCACGUGAGCCUUCUAUUCAGACUUCAGCUCGGGGCAACUUGGGUUGGGGUCGGAACGGCUCUAUGGUUGACUUCUUAGAGGGACUAUUCGUUUCCAGCGAAUGGAAGUUUGAGGCAAUAACAGG